Molecule: ribosomal RNA, 1197 nt
Filed under: Schistosoma mansoni
Lineage: Eukaryota; Metazoa; Platyhelminthes; Trematoda; Strigeidida; Schistosomatidae
Description: SSU rRNA
Rfam family: Eukaryotic small subunit ribosomal RNA
Source: RNAcentral
GACUAGCUGUGCCUGUUACAUUCUGUGAUGACUCUGGAUAACUUUACUGAUCGCAGUCGGCCUUGUGUCGGCGACGGAUCUUUCAAAUGUCUGCCCUAUCAAUUUGUUGGUAGGUGAUUUGCCUACCAUGAUGAUAACGGGUAACGGGGAAUCAGGGUUCGAUUCCGGAGAGGGAGCCUGAGAAAUGGCUACCACAUCCAAGGACGGCAGCAGGCGCGAAAAUUACCCACUCCCGGCACGGGGAGGUAGUGACGAAAAAUACGUAUACGGGACUCAAUUGAGGCUCCGUAAUUCGAAUGAGUACAAUUUAAAUCCUUUAACGAGGACCAAUUGGAGGGCAAGUCUGGUGCCAGCAGCCGCGGUAACUCCAGCUCCAAAAGCGUAUAUUAAAGUUGCUGCAGUUAAAAAGCUCGUAGUUGAAUCUGGGUCGUGCGGUCGCAUGCCGUUGCUUGUUCACGGUUUUGGUUACGAUCAGGACCAGUGUUCAGCUCGGUGUAGUGGCUGUGCAGCCUUUCAGCCGUGUCUGUGUUAAACGGGUGCUGGUGGGUUGACGAGUUCGUCUUGUUGACCUGUCGGCAUGCUUCCGGAUGCCUUUAAACGGGUGUCGGGAGCGGACGGCAUCUUUACUUUGAACAAAUUUGAGUGCUCAAAGCAGGCCUAUGUGCCUGAAAAUUCUUGCAUGGAAUAAUGAAAUAGGACUUCGGUUCUAUUUUGUUGGUUUUCGGAUCCGAAGUAAUGGUUAAGAGGGACAGACGGGGGCAUUUGUAUGGCGGUGUUAGAGGUGAAAUUCUGGGAUCGCCGCCAGACAAACUACAGCGAAAGCAUUUGCCAAGAAUGUUUUCAUUGAUCAGGAGCGAAAGUCAGAGUUUCGAAGACGAUCAGAUACCGUCGUAGUUCUGACCAUAAACGAUGCCAACUGACGAUCCGCGUUGGUUCUAUAAUUGACAUCGCGGGCAGUCCCCGGGAAACCUUUAAGUCUUUGGGCUCCGGGGGGAGUAUGGUUGCAAAGCUGAAACUUAAAGGAAUUGACGGAAGGGCACCACCAGGAGUGGAGCCUGCGGUUUAAUUCGACUCAACACGGGAAAACUCACCCGGCCCGGACACUGUGAGGAUUGACAGAUUGAUAGCUCUUUCUUGAUUCGGUGGGUGGUGGUGCAUGGCCGUUCUUAGUUGGUGGAGCGAUUUGUCUGGUCUUAU